Molecule: ribosomal RNA, 253 nt
Filed under: uncultured bacterium
Lineage: Bacteria
Description: partial 16S ribosomal RNA
Rfam family: Bacterial small subunit ribosomal RNA
Source: RNAcentral
UACGGAAGGGGCAAGCGUUGUUCGGAAUCAUUGGGCGUAAAGGGCGCGUAGGUGGUUGUGUGUGUCUGCCGUGAAAGCGCGCGGCUUAACCGCGUUCCGUCGGUAGAAACUGCAGAACUCGAGACUGGGAGGGGCUGGUGGAAUUCCCUGUGUAGCGGUGAAAUGCGUAGAGAUGGGGGAGAACACUCGUGGCGAAGGCGGCCAGCUAGACCAGUUCUGACACUGAGGCGCGACAGCGUGGGGAGCAAACAGG